This 1836-nucleotide long non-coding RNA is filed under the name Mus musculus (house mouse). RNAcentral describes it as "predicted gene 2629". The record is from RNAcentral. Lineage: Eukaryota; Metazoa; Chordata; Mammalia; Rodentia; Muridae.
AGGCGAGACAGAAUCGUGGAGGAAGCAGAGGGCACGUAUCAGCAUCCACGGAGUUAUGGGAGACUUGUAGCUGAAGGCCUACCAAGAUAAGUAGAGCAUUUGUGUCUCUGGGUUUCUGAGUUAAUGAUGCCAGCAGUCUCUGAACUAGCCAAAUUGUGGUGGAUUUAUUAUUUACAUUACAACUCCAUUUAAAAAUGAAAACAUAUGCCCACAUGUUCAGUGCUUCACAAAUACACGCUGUAGAAUUUUAUAUCCAGUAACAGAUGCAAUUUCCCUAUCAAAUAUAAUUUCUGUUUGUCUUCUGAACUCUGUAUUGUUGUGGAAAUUCCAGUUUAUCAGCUGCACUGGAGCCGAAUGAAGUUUGCUAGGCUGUGGAUUCUGGACAAGAGAACAGGAUCUGCUAGAAAAGCAAGGGAAAUACGAUGGAGGUGCUUGGGGCAGUGCUGAUGCUCAGGCAAACGCUCCUACAGCAGAGUGAGCGCACAGGUCCUCCUGUGCCUGGAUCCUUGGUCCAAGUCUCCUCACGCGGCUCAACUUUACGUCUGUGUCAGAAGAACGUCAAGACCAAUUGCCACUUCUUUUUUUUCUCAGAGUCCUCACCCAACAUAAGGCUUCCAAGAUGACAGAGAACAGGAGGUUGCGAUGACUACUGUUGAGACCAUUGUCAAGGGAAAGUCCUUUUCUUUUGAAGACCACUUGGAUGCUGACAUUUGCUGGAAGUGCCUAGAUUACUGCGAAGGCUUGGCUGGGUUUAUGGUUGACAAAACAUCUUUUGGUGACAUCAGAAGGGACCUACUGGUGUCCGCGUGGGCAGAAGAGAGUAGUACUACUGCUUUGAGAUAGCCAGUUGAAAGCCAGCACCUGCUUCGGUCCACAGGAAGGCAAACUAGCUCCCAUCACACAGGCUAAUGCUUUGUUCUUAGUUGAAAUCUAUACCAAGACUGCUGAGCAUCCUGGAUUCUCCAACUGGGCUGCCACAGGCAGAUUCUGGCUCAGCAUCUCAAUAUGGCAGAGAUCUUCUUCACUGCACAUGUACCCACUGGGAGGACUCAAACCUGGUAUUUCAGAACUCAGGAGAAAAAUUCACACUUUGCAUUUCUCACUGUCACAUGGAGGAGACUGUGACAAGGCCAGCUCUAGUGGCACAGGAUCAUAUGUACAAAUGGAUAUUCUUGAUAAACUUAUAGAAGUGAUGGCACAGACCCAAAGUUCCAAGCACUCCUCACUCUACCCUCAGAAGAUGCAAAGAUGAGUCCAUGCUCCAACUGAUCGCAUCUGGAUUCUAGAGUGUUCUUGAGUGUGUGAAGCUUCAAAGGAAGGAUGUUAAUGUGCUUCGAGGCAGAGGUCAGGAUGUACCUGAAGAAAGGCCUCAUACCAAAAGGUGGAUGUGAUAAGAGACCCAUUAACCAGUAGCAGAGGUCACGUGGCUUGUGUAAAGAGGAGACAUCUGGACCACGCAUGCCCAUUUUAUCACUGGACACCUUUGCAGAGAUUAUGGGGAUGAUCCAGUAACACUGCUUUUGGGUCCUGGCCCAUUGUGGACGCUCAAUUUGGCUAACAGAAGCCACGGACAGAUAAAUCACCAGCAGCCUGGUGCUUUGGCAGACAUAUUUUGGCGUCUCUGGUCAACCUUGUGGAAAAGGGAGUUCGUGCGUGGAGAGAACUUUGGAUGCUGUCAGAAGCAGCCCUCUACGGAUGUCCAGCCAUUCUGAGGCUGUGACCACUUCUAGGCAGAGACUUCUAGAGACUUCUGGCAUAGCUCCUGGAAUUCAGUGGAUUUUCAAGACAUACUUAUAUUUAAUGAAUUAACAAUAAAAGGAGAAGUAAGGACAAAAA